This 501-nucleotide ribosomal RNA is filed under the name uncultured bacterium. RNAcentral describes it as "bacterial SSU rRNA". It matches the Rfam family "Bacterial small subunit ribosomal RNA", at positions 29 to 524 of the family's 1533-position model. The record is from RNAcentral.
AUUAAACGCUGGCGGCAUGCCUUACACAUGCAAGUCGAACGGCAGCACGGGGGCAACCCUGGUGGCGAGUGGCGAACGGGUGAGUAAUACAUCGGAACGUGCCCAGUCGUGGGGGAUAACGUAGCGAAAGCUACGCUAAUACCGCAUACGAUCUCUGGAUGAAAGCGGGGGACCGCAAGGCCUCGCGCGAUUGGAGCGGCCGAUGGCAGAUUAGGUAGUUGGUGGGGUAAAGGCUCACCAAGCCGACGAUCUGUAGCUGGUCUGAGAGGACGACCAGCCACACUGGGACUGAGACACGGCCCAGACUCCUACGGGAGGCAGCAGUGGGGAAUUUUGGACAAUGGGCGAAAGCCUGAUCCAGCCAUUCCGCGUGCAGGAUGAAGGCCCUCGGGUUGUAAACUGCUUUUGUACGGAACGAAACGGUCCUGGUUAAUACCUGGGGCUAAUGACGGUACCGUAAGAAUAAGCACCGGCUAACUACGUGCCAGCAGCCGCGGUAAU